Non-coding RNA from Schizosaccharomyces pombe (fission yeast), 1619 nucleotides. The record is from the annotation of a GenBank genome assembly. NCBI's taxonomy places the organism in Eukaryota, Fungi, Ascomycota, Schizosaccharomycetes, Schizosaccharomycetales, Schizosaccharomycetaceae.
UACAUUGGCGUUUUAAGAAUUUGUCAGCAAAUGCAAGUUAAAUAGUAUGGCAUGAACUAUUGCUUUUUUGAGAUAAUGGACCAACCUAGCUUUUUUUAUUGAUCACUCGUUCUCCACGCGAUUAUAGUUAAAGUUAAUUUAGUUGAAGAUAAUAUUUGCGAUUGUUCACAAUCAUGACUAACUCUAGAACUUAUUUUAAUCUUUCCUAUUCAUACAACAGUCAUCAAUUUAUCGAUGGUAAACAACCUUGACAAACAAAGGUUUUAUAUGAUUUACAUAACAUUAUUUCCUUCACUGCUCGCCAAAACCCUUCUGACGAUAUAGAUUUUUGGGCGAUGAUUUAGUUAAGUAAGUUGAUUUGUUUAAAAGCACAAAACAAUAAAUUUUUUAAAAAUAAUUCAUUUAGCAAAGUCGUGGUCAAAUAAUUUAUAUAUGGUUCAAUAACUAUCCAUGUUAUAGUUAAUUGACUGUAUUACAACUGAAAGGUAUAUUUCAGGUACUAUAAUCGCGUAUGGACCAAAAAUGGAAUGACCAUAAACUGGCUAGGUUAUGCAACAGGGAAGAACGAACGAUAUCAGAGAAAAUGAUUCUGUAUUGAUAUAAUCGAUUUCGUAACCAAGUAAUCUUCUCAACCUUGUUCUGAGAAUAAAGUAAUUAUGCAAGAAUAUACUGCAAAUUAACUGAAGCCGCAACCAUCAAAAAACACAUAUACUAUUAUCAUCAGCGUAUAGCUUAUUAAGCUUAAAACAUAACAUUUGAUAUCAAUAGCAAUGGAAUAGCUCAAUGUUGUUCUUUGGCCUUUGCCAAUUCUUCGAAAGUAGCCUUGACAGCAGGUCGUGCAAGAAGUCUUUGAUUCCAAGCGUAAGCUUUAGGAAACUCUUUUUCAAAAUCAAGCUGAGGAACCUCUUCCUUGAAUGAAAAUUUCCCUUCCCCGAAAAGACCGCCAAGGUUGUAGUUCCAAGGAAUAAACGAUAAAUCAGCAAUUGUAUACUUAUUCGCUACAAGAUAAUCACGAUCUUUAAGAAUAUCUUCAAGUACUCCAAGAACACGCUUUAUCUCAUUUCUAUAACGGGUGACUGCAGAUACCACUGGCUCAUGAUGGAAAAAGUUGAACCAUCCAGCUUGACCCCAAAUAACGCCUUGUCCAGAAGCUUGGAAGAACAAGUAUUGGAUAAGUUUAUAGUAUUCAGGGUCAUCAAAGGAUAAUGAAAUCUUUCGAUCCGUAUCAUACUUGUCAGCCAAAUAAAUCAAAAUGGCGUCUGAUUCCCAAAUAGUAUAAUCAUUGUUUUUGUGGUCAACUAAAGUAGGUACUCUUCCAUUGGGGUUUAAAGCCAAGUGUUCCUUGCAUUUUUGUUCUCCUUUUUGGAAAUCAUAAAAUAUUUGUUCGUAAGAAAGAUUCAAUUCUUUCAAAGCAAGGACCACCUUCCAAGGAUUGGGUCCUCCAGCAUGCGAGUAUAAAGUAAAAUGAGCCAUAAAAUUGGAAUUCUGGCUAAAAAUUUGUAAUUGGUAGUAUCUAAAACUAGAACGAGGAUGCCUGACUUUUGUAUGUAUCGUAUUACUGAGUGCUUAUGUAAGAAAUUUGUAAUAGCCUAAGGCCAUUUGUAAUAAUUGUUAGUCAG